CCUCUCCCAACUAACUAUUAUCGUUCAUGUUGUAUGGUGAAAAACACAACUCAUCUACCUUUUUCAAAUGGCUUAAACCUGUUUGCCCUGCUAUAAAUUCACCAAAAAUCUCCAUUGAUUCAGUAUAUCUGCAUCUUGAAUACACUUUCUGAUCUUCUAAUCUAACCCCAAAUGGCGCCUUGGUUUUUUGUUCUUCUCUUCUUAGUCGCCAAAGCUCAUGCUACGAUGACCAACCAAAUCGACCUGCAAGCAGCGAUGGACGAGAUGAGAUUAAAAUCUUACCAUGGCUUUGCCAUACUACUCAAGAUCUUGAACAGCACCACUAAAACCUUGCAGAAUUCAAAUAUAACCUUCUUCAUGCCUACUGAUCAGGAACUUUCUCAAGCUGAUAUCUCCCCGGACCGACUUGAAGAAUUCGUUUUGAGCCAUUCUAUCCCCACAGCAUUACUACUCAACAAUCUUUUACACUUCCCGA
This 475-nucleotide long non-coding RNA is filed under the name Cucumis sativus (cucumber). Its description in RNAcentral is "long non-coding RNA (CSAT_LNC002808)". Lineage: Eukaryota; Viridiplantae; Streptophyta; Magnoliopsida; Cucurbitales; Cucurbitaceae. The record is from RNAcentral.